Amphimedon queenslandica is the source of this 372-nucleotide long non-coding RNA. RefSeq lists it as uncharacterized. Lineage: Eukaryota; Metazoa; Porifera; Demospongiae; Haplosclerida; Niphatidae. The transcript has 5 exons. The record is from RefSeq and is a predicted model, not a curated record.
AGCAAAUCCGUUUGAACACGAUUUCAAACAAGCAACUCAAAAUAACGAGAAAGAGAAGGCAAAGUUACAAAUUGAUGGAGUUCAAAAGGUCUUGCCACCUGCUAUUCCUGUAGCUCCUCCUCCUAGCCUAGCUAAUCCUCAAAAAGCUGUUCCCCUUGCCACAGUCCCAGCUCAUAUUGGCACUGCUACAGCACUUACUAAGCAAAAGUUGCUGGCUUCAAUUCAAAAUAAGAAUGUCGUUGAGGCAAAUCAAAAAAAGAAUACUGAGGUAUUAGCUCAAGCUCUUAAAGCUGUCAUUGAGAGUAACAGUGAAAGUGGAUCCAGCUCUGAUGGUUUUGCUGUACCACAGGAUGCUCCCAGGAGGUAUUUCCA